RNAcentral lists this ribosomal RNA (542 nucleotides) under Aspergillus inflatus. RNAcentral describes it as "SSU rRNA". It matches the Rfam family "Bacterial small subunit ribosomal RNA", at positions 364 to 940 of the family's 1533-position model. The record is from RNAcentral. Lineage: Eukaryota; Fungi; Ascomycota; Eurotiomycetes; Eurotiales; Aspergillaceae.
UUGGUCAAUGGCCGAAAGGCUGAACCAGUAACUUGGAAGAAUGUAAAUGUAUUAUUAUAAUACAGUAACGAUUAACUCGUAUAAAAUUCUAAAUAGGAUAAUGAUAAUGACAAUUUCCUAUUUAUAAGUCUUGACCAAAUUACGUGCCAGCAGUCGCGGUAAUACGUAGAAGACUAGUGUUAGUCAUCUUUAUUAGGUUUAAAGGGUACCUAGACGGUAAAUUAAACUCUAAGUGAGUACUUUUUUACUAGAGUUUUAUAAGAGAAGGAAGAAUUUCUGGAGUAGAGAUAAAAUAUGUUGAUACCAGAAGGACUGGUAACGGCGAAGGCAUCCUUCUAUGUAUAAACUGACGUUGAGGGACGAAGGCUUGGGUAGCAAUAAGGAUUAGAUACCCUAGUAGUCCAAGCAGAAAAUGAUGAGUGUCAUAGACUAGAUAGAAUAUUUAGUCUAUAAAUGAAAGUGUAAGCACUCCACCUCAAGAGUAAUAUGGCAACAUAUAAACUGAAAUCAUUAGACCGUUUCUGAAACCAGUAGUGAAGUAU